GACGUAGGGCGCGAGCGUUGUCCGGAUUUAUUGGGCGUAAAGAGCUCGUAGGCGGCUUGUCGCGUCGACUGUGAAAUCCCGCGGCUCAACUGCGGGUCUGCAGCCGAUACGGGCAGGCUAGAGUUCGGUAGGGGAGACUGGAAUUCCUGGUGUAGCGGUGAAAUGCGCAGAUAUCAGGAGGAACACCAAUAGCGAAGGCAGCUCGCUGGGACGUUACUGACACUGAGGCGCGAAAGCGUGGGGAGCGAACAGG
This 253-nucleotide ribosomal RNA is filed under the name uncultured bacterium. RNAcentral's name for it is "partial 16S ribosomal RNA". It matches the Rfam family "Bacterial small subunit ribosomal RNA", at positions 524 to 776 of the family's 1533-position model. The record is from RNAcentral.